GCAGAGUAGAGAUAUGUGCGUUAAGUGCCAGCCGGACGGGGAGUUGCCGGCAGGACGAAAAGCAUGGAGCUUGCGGUACAUAUCUCGCAUCCCGCUGC
RNAcentral lists this non-coding RNA (98 nucleotides) under Extibacter muris. RNAcentral describes it as "THF riboswitch". It matches the Rfam family "THF (Tetrahydrofolate) riboswitch aptamer". Rfam says of the family: THF riboswitch presents a pseudoknot that joins P1-P2 and the loop of P3 and two THF binding. The record is from RNAcentral. Lineage: Bacteria; Bacillati; Bacillota; Clostridia; Lachnospirales; Lachnospiraceae.